Non-coding RNA from Acanthosepion pharaonis, 114 nucleotides. The record is from the annotation of a GenBank genome assembly. Lineage: Eukaryota; Metazoa; Mollusca; Cephalopoda; Sepiida; Sepiidae.
UUACGGCCAUAACACGUUGAAACACCGGAACUGGUACGAUCACUGAAGUUAAGCAACGUCGAGCCUGGUCAGUAACUAGAUGGGUGAACGCGUGGGGAUACCAGUUACUGUAAG